Molecule: ribosomal RNA, 484 nt
Filed under: uncultured bacterium
Lineage: Bacteria
Description: partial 16S ribosomal RNA
Rfam family: Bacterial small subunit ribosomal RNA
Source: RNAcentral
AUUGAACGCUGGCGGCAGGCCUAACACAUGCAAGUCGAGCGGAUGAAGGGAGCUUGCUCCUGGAUUCAGCGGCGGACGGGUGAGUAAUGCCUAGGAAUCUGCCUGGUAGUGGGGGAUAACGUCCGGAAACGGGCGCUAAUACCGCAUACGUCCUGAGGGAGAAAGUGGGGGAUCUUCGGACCUCACGCUAUCAGAUGAGCCUAGGUCGGAUUAGCUAGUUGGUGGGGUAAAGGCCUACCAAGGCGACGAUCCGUAACUGGUCUGAGAGGAUGAUCAGUCACACUGGAACUGAGACACGGUCCAGACUCCUACGGGAGGCAGCAGUGGGGAAUAUUGGACGAUGGGCGAAAGCUUGAUCCAGCCAUGCCGCGUGUGUGAAGAAGGUCUGCGGAUUGUAAAACACUUUUAGUUGGGAGGAAGGGCAGUAAGUUAAUACCUUGCUGUUUUGACGUUACCAACAGAAUAAGCACCGGCUAACUUCGUG